UAUCUUCUCUGAAACUUUUAUACUUCUAUGAUUUCUUUGUGAUUUCAUGAGAAAAUAUUUUUGUGAUGAACUCUUGUGAGAGUUCUGGGUUAUUGUCAGAAGAUCUUGUACUUUGAGAGAGUUAGAACUAAGUGUUCUGUAAUGAAACUUUUGCCUAUUUUGUGGCGAUUUAUAGUGGAUUCGAGCUUAAUCCUAACGGAUGUUCAACAGGGAUUAGGCGUUGGAAGCGGUCGUCGAACCUUGGGGCUUUUGGGUCGAAAAAUCUUGUGUUCUGAUCUUGUUAUUUUUUUUAUUUUAACUAUGUUUGAUUUAUGAGUUAAAAGGCACAAACAUAUUAUUUGGGACCCGUAAUACAAUUCUGAAAAUCUUGGAAUGUUGGAAAAUCAACUCGGUAAGGUAAAAAAUCAGGUUUGGGAAAUACUUCUCCGAAUCCAAACAUGUUCCGAUGAUCUUAUACUUGUGCCUGGGUUAGAAGCACCCCAGGUUUUCUAGAGUUUGUCUUUAGCUAUCCUUAGAAUGGAUCUGAUGAGCCUACAUAAGUUAACACUCAGUCACUUGUAACUGCCAGUACCAAUCAAGAAACACCAAAUGAAUAGGGCGGUAACUCAACGUCCUUAGUGAUAUUGGAGAUACUCAGGCUACAAAUCAUGUUCCAUCCCCGCAAGUGAGGUGGUGCUGGCAAAACAUCUGGGACUAAGCGGGCCAAGAAACAAUGGUGUCUAGUUUUGUCUUUCUAACUUCCGACCUACUUGAUCUAACUAUUUGAUGGGUUGUAUAACUUGAUCUAACUAUUUGACAUAUACGUUUGUUGGAUUAUAUAUGUUUGUUUGCUCCCCCAACCUUUUUGGAUGAGUUUGAUAGGUCAAAUAAUUAAAAGAAAGAAAAAUUAUUUAUGUUUGACGAAACUGCAUCAGCAAGGCUUGAAGUUUUUUGUCCAUCUCCAAUUAGUUCUGACCAGUAGAUAUUCUAGUGAAGUAUCUUAAAGCAAACCUUUUACUUCAACCAUAGUUGAAGAUAACACACUUUUGCAUGAAUGAUAUAAUCAUACUCGAAGAUCAGG
Molecule: long non-coding RNA, 1060 nt
Filed under: Olea europaea subsp. europaea
Lineage: Eukaryota; Viridiplantae; Streptophyta; Magnoliopsida; Lamiales; Oleaceae
Source: RNAcentral